GUCCCAAAAGGAACCCUUGUGACAGUGACCAUACAGGUUGGAACCAGUUGUGUGCAGCUCAGCGCCAGUCGCCAGCCUUUUGUGCCUGCGUUCAUCACCGUAGCGAUUCUCUUUACUGCGUGCAGUAUUUUUUACAUAUUGGCUUGCCCUGUGGAAGUCAGUUCUACAGGGAGAGCCUGAUGGUGGGCAAGAGCUGCCUGCUGCAGAGUCCGGCCCGCGGAGUGUUGCUGCUCAGCCACUGAGGGCGCCGUUCCUGGAUGCAGGCAGAAGCAUGGGCAGCCCCAUGCCGUCACCUCCCUCACAACCAUCCCCCAGUGAGCUGCGCUCAGUGCCCCGCCAGGUGUGCCAAGGAUGCCAGCAAAGACAGCAUUGCUAGGUGAUUUGAAGAUAGUAAAGUUGGAACUUAAAAACUCCCAAAAAUUCAAGGCAUUUUGUUUAAUCUUGGUGAAGUCAUGCUCCUUUAUGUUUAAAAGUGAAUUGAAUCCCAGGAUUAGUUGUAAGUAAAUGGUCUUUUUUGAGAUGUGUUAUGCUGUUGAGCCUGGUUUCCAACUCUUGAAUUCAAAUGCUGCUUCUGCCUCGGCCUUUGACCAGCUGGGACUACAGAUACAGGCUGAUUGUGACCAGUUUGUCUUUUUCUUCUAAGUAUGCCUAACUGAAGACACUUUUGUGCUGGACUUGCCUACUCAGGAGGCUGAGGCAGAAGGACCCAAGUUCAAGUCCAGCCUGGACAAUUAAGAGACCCUGCCUAAAACUUAAAGAGGCCUGGGAACAGAGCUCAGCAGUAGUGUUUGCCUGGCAUGUGUGUCCCUGGGUUUAGUCCCCAACACUGCACCCCAAAAUUAAACCUCUCAGUGAUGACUCA
Molecule: long non-coding RNA, 862 nt
Organism: Octodon degus (degu)
Lineage: Eukaryota; Metazoa; Chordata; Mammalia; Rodentia; Octodontidae
Exons: 3
Source: RefSeq, a predicted model, not a curated record